Molecule: ribosomal RNA, 254 nt
Filed under: uncultured bacterium
Lineage: Bacteria
Description: partial 16S ribosomal RNA
Rfam family: Bacterial small subunit ribosomal RNA
Source: RNAcentral
UACGUAGGGUGCGAGCGUUAAUCGGAAUUACUGGGCGUAAAGCGUGCGCAGGCGGUUUUGUAAGCCAGGUGUGAAAUCCCCGGGCUCAACCUGGGAAUGGCAUUUGGGACUGCAAGGCUGGAGUGUGGCAGAGGAGACUGGAAUUCCUGGUGUAGCAGUGAAAUGCGUAGAUAUCAGGAGGAAUACCGAUGGCGAAGGCAGGUCUCUGGGCUGACACUGACGCUCAUGCACGAAAGCGUGGGGAGCGAAACAAG